Cyprinus carpio (common carp) is the source of this 1075-nucleotide long non-coding RNA. NCBI's taxonomy places the organism in Eukaryota, Metazoa, Chordata, Actinopteri, Cypriniformes, Cyprinidae. The record is from Ensembl.
AAAGAAACAGAGGCUAUUUCCCUCAUUAGAAUCAGUGUACUACCAGAAUGAUUUUAAAACUGACAUAUCAAGGAAAAAAAACUUAUACAGUUGGUUUAGCAGUAUUUUAAUGUAAAAUUAUAUAAAUGCCCCAUUAGACAUUUUACACUGUAGGCUAUCGAGUAAGAGAACUUGCCAUUAACCAAUUUUUAUCUUCACAUUUCUGCAGUCUUUUUCCAUUAAAAUGGCAAUCAUUUUUCACAAUGUGGUAUGGAACUGGAAGCAAUCAGUCCCAGCUUAUAGCCUACUCUUGCUGGAAGCUGCCCAGUGGUGGAACGGAGCUUCUUUGUGCUCUUUGAAAUACCCUGCUUUAAAGAGCUGCAAUAAUACAUGACAUCACAGAGCAAGAGGAAAGGUGCAAGUGUGUCGAUGCUGAGAGAGAGAGAGCACUCUUUGUUCAUUGUGAAGUCAUCCGCGGCGCUUAACACAGACUUGAAGGCCAAGGCUGUGGUGCUGUCCGUGAGCACUUUCAUUCACGGCGUUCGUUGCUUUGGAGAUGAUGAAUGAGGUUUACGCUUGGACUAAUAUCUUGACUUUACAGUGUCAGAAGUGUUUUAGGCAGGGGCAGGUGGCCUGGCGUGCCGCUCUGGUCAGCCUCUGGCCAGGCCUUUCUGCAGCUCUGAUGGAUGAGGUGGUGGAUCAGCGGCUCUGCUGAAGUGCUCUGGCACCAGUUUCUCUCCAAACAUGCAGAUGCGAUUUGCCUGACACUGUGUUUUCUUAGAAGGUGCGGCACGAUGGGGUGUAUCGUAGAGAAGGCAGCCACAACUGCUGGCUCGUGUUUCCUGAAAUUUUUAAUGAGACAGGCUACUUCAGAACAUUCUAGGACUUAAUUGCCGACACUAAAGUGCCCUUUCGCUCCGGUCUAUAUGCCCCUGGACCGCGAUUUCUACCCUGCUGGACCGCAAUUGUGCCCUAGCAACAUUGCUUAGCCCCUGCCCCUCUGGAGGUCUGUGCACACCACUGUCCACAGGUCUAUCCAAAUUAAUUCUAGCUUAUUUAAGUCAGCCUUUUAUGUUCUUCUAGGUCAAGAGUGGUG